GGUUAAGCGACUAAGCGUACACGGUGGAUGCCCUGGCAGUCAGAGGCGAUGAAGGACGUGCUAAUCUGCGAUAAGCGUCGGUAAGGUGAUAUGAACCGUUAUAACCGGCGAUUUCCGAAUGGGGAAACCCAGUGUGAUUCGUCACACUAUCAUUAACUGAAUCCAUAGGUUAAUGAGGCGAACCGGGGGAACUGAAACAUCUAAGUACCCCGAGGAAAAGAAAUCAACCGAGAUUCCCCCAGUAGCGGCGAGCGAACGGGGAGCAGCCCAGAGCCUGAAUCAGUGUGUGUGUUAGUGGAAGCGUCUGGAAAGGCGCGCGAUACAGGGUGACAGCCCCGUACACAAAAAUGCACAUGCUGUGAGCUCGAUGAGUAGGGCGGGACACGUGGUAUCCUGUCUGAAUAUGGGGGGACCAUCCUCCAAGGCUAAAUACUCCUGACUGACCGAUAGUGAACCAGUACCGUGAGGGAAAGGCGAAAAGAACCCCGGCGAGGGGAGUGAAAAAGAACCUGAAACCGUGUACGUACAAGCAGUGGGAGCACGCUUAGGCGUGUGACUGCGUACCUUUUGUAUAAUGGGUCAGCGACUUAUAUUCUGUAGCAAGGUUAACCGAAUAGGGGAGCCGAAGGGAAACCGAGUCUUAACUGGGCGUUAAGUUGCAGGGUAUAGACCCGAAACCCGGUGAUCUAGCCAUGGGCAGGUUGAAGGUUGGGUAACACUAACUGGAGGACCGAACCGACUAAUGUUGAAAAAUUAGCGGAUGACUUGUGGCUGGGGGUGAAAGGCCAAUCAAACCGGGAGAUAGCUGGUUCUCCCCGAAAGCUAUUUAGGUAGCGCCUCGUGAAUUCAUCUCCGGGGGUAGAGCACUGUUUCGGCAAGGGGGUCAUCCCGACUUACCAACCCGAUGCAAACUGCGAAUACCGGAGAAUGUUAUCACGGGAGACACACGGCGGGUGCUAACGUCCGUCGUGAAGAGGGAAACAACCCAGACCGCCAGCUAAGGUCCCAAAGUCAUGGUUAAGUGGGAAACGAUGUGGGAAGGCCCAGACAGCCAGGAUGUUGGCUUAGAAGCAGCCAUCAUUUAAAGAAAGCGUAAUAGCUCACUGGUCGAGUCGGCCUGCGCGGAAGAUGUAACGGGGCUAAACCAUGCACCGAAGCUGCGGCAGCGACGCUUAUGCGUUGUUGGGUAGGGGAGCGUUCUGUAAGCCUGUGAAGGUGUGCUGUGAGGCAUGCUGGAGGUAUCAGAAGUGCGAAUGCUGACAUAAGUAACGAUAAAGCGGGUGAAAAGCCCGCUCGCCGGAAGACCAAGGGUUCCUGUCCAACGUUAAUCGGGGCAGGGUGAGUCGACCCCUAAGGCGAGGCCGAAAGGCGUAGUCGAUGGGAAACAGGUUAAUAUUCCUGUACUUGGUGUUACUGCGAAGGGGGGACGGAGAAGGCUAUGUUGGCCGGGCGACGGUUGUCCCGGUUUAAGCGUGUAGGCUGGUUUUCCAGGCAAAUCCGGAAAAUCAAGGCUGAGGCGUGAUGACGAGGCACUACGGUGCUGAAGCAACAAAUGCCCUGCUUCCAGGAAAAGCCUCUAAGCAUCAGGUAACAUCAAAUCGUACCCCAAACCGACACAGGUGGUCAGGUAGAGAAUACCAAGGCGCUUGAGAGAACUCGGGUGAAGGAACUAGGCAAAAUGGUGCCGUAACUUCGGGAGAAGGCACGCUGAUAUGUAGGUGAAGUCCCUCGCGGAUGGAGCUGAAAUCAGUCGAAGAUACCAGCUGGCUGCAACUGUUUAUUAAAAACACAGCACUGUGCAAACACGAAAGUGGACGUAUACGGUGUGACGCCUGCCCGGUGCCGGAAGGUUAAUUGAUGGGGUCAGCGCAAGCGAAGCUCUUGAUCGAAGCCCCGGUAAACGGCGGCCGUAACUAUAACGGUCCUAAGGUAGCGAAAUUCCUUGUCGGGUAAGUUCCGACCUGCACGAAUGGCGUAAUGAUGGCCAGGCUGUCUCCACCCGAGACUCAGUGAAAUUGAACUCGCUGUGAAGAUGCAGUGUACCCGCGGCAAGACGGAAAGACCCCGUGAACCUUUACUAUAGCUUGACACUGAACAUUGAGCCUUGAUGUGUAGGAUAGGUGGGAGGCUUUGAAGUGUGGACGCCAGUCUGCAUGGAGCCGACCUUGAAAUACCACCCUUUAAUGUUUGAUGUUCUAACGUUGACCCGUGAUCCGGGUUGCGGACAGUGUCUGGUGGGUAGUUUGACUGGGGCGGUCUCCUCCUAAAGAGUAACGGAGGAGCACGAAGGUUGGCUAAUCCUGGUCGGACAUCAGGAGGUUAGUGCAAUGGCAUAAGCCAGCUUGACUGCGAGCGUGACGGCGCGAGCAGGUGCGAAAGCAGGUCAUAGUGAUCCGGUGGUUCUGAAUGGAAGGGCCAUCGCUCAACGGAUAAAAGGUACUCCGGGGAUAACAGGCUGAUACCGCCCAAGAGUUCAUAUCGACGGCGGUGUUUGGCACCUCGAUGUCGGCUCAUCACAUCCUGGGGCUGAAGUAGGUCCCAAGGGUAUGGCUGUUCGCCAUUUAAAGUGGUACGCGAGCUGGGUUUAGAACGUCGUGAGACAGUUCGGUCCCUAUCUGCCGUGGGCGCUGGAGAAUUGAGGGGGGCUGCUCCUAGUACGAGAGGACCGGAGUGGACGCAUCACUGGUGUUCGGGUUGUCAUGCCAAUGGCACUGCCCGGUAGCUAAAUGCGGAAGAGAUAAGUGCUGAAAGCAUCUAAGCACGAAACUUGCCCCGAGAUGAGUUCUCCCUGACUCCUUGAGAGUCCUGAAGGAACGUUGAAGACGACGACGUUGAUAGGCCGGGUGUGUAAGCGCAGCGAUGCGUUGAGCUAACCGGUACUAAUGAACCGUGAGGCUUAACCUU
Molecule: ribosomal RNA, 2904 nt
Filed under: Escherichia coli
Lineage: Bacteria; Pseudomonadati; Pseudomonadota; Gammaproteobacteria; Enterobacterales; Enterobacteriaceae
Description: 23S ribosomal RNA
Rfam family: Bacterial large subunit ribosomal RNA
Source: RNAcentral